RNAcentral lists this ribosomal RNA (22 nucleotides) under Tilletiopsis washingtonensis. RNAcentral's name for it is "partial 28S ribosomal RNA". Lineage: Eukaryota; Fungi; Basidiomycota; Exobasidiomycetes; Entylomatales. The record is from RNAcentral.
AACGCUCUGGCCUCAAAUCAGG